RNAcentral lists this ribosomal RNA (468 nucleotides) under uncultured bacterium. RNAcentral describes it as "partial 16S ribosomal RNA". It matches the Rfam family "Bacterial small subunit ribosomal RNA", at positions 28 to 507 of the family's 1533-position model. The record is from RNAcentral.
GACGAACGCUGGCGGCGUGCUUAACACAUGCAAGUCGAACGGAAAGGCCCUGCUUUUGUGGGGUGCUCGAGUGGCGAACGGGUGAGUAACACGUGAGUAACCUGCCCUUGACUUUGGGAUAACUUCAGGAAACUGGGGCUAAUACCGGAUAGGAGCUCCUGCUGCAUGGUGGGGGUUGGAAAGUUUCGGCGGUUGGGGAUGGACUCGCGGCUUAUCAGCUUGUUGGUGGGGUAGUGGCUUACCAAGGCUUUGACGGGUAGCCGGCCUGAGAGGGUGACCGGCCACAUUGGGACUGAGAUACGGCACAGACUCCUACGGGAGGCAGCAGUGGGGAAUAUUGCACAAUGGGAGGAAGCCUGAUGCAGCAACGCCGCGUGCGGGAUGACGGCCUUCGGGUUGUAAACCGAUUUCGCCUGUGACGAAGCGUGAGUGACGGUAAUGGGUAAAGAAGCACCGGCUAACUACGUG